UUUGUAUUGAACAGUUUGCAAUGUGAUCAACAGGACAUAUUUGGGGAAUAAUCGAGUAGGCCAGUGGUUCUUGGUGUGAGCUGGGAGAACUUUUGCAAUUGGAGAUGUUGUGAAAUCCUCUAGGGACUUUCUCAAGUUACACCACCAUUCUUGGUUGAAAUUGUUGUGGUGGGGAAAUUUUUUUUGAGAACCAUCGAGUUAGUGCUAGCAUAGAAUCUAACAAGAAAUGGCCCUGCAUCCAUUCUCUUUUCUUCUAAUAACAGCCCCAGAUUUCCAUUUUUGGACCUACCUUUUCCUUUUUAUCAGGCUAAGUGUUCAUGGUGGGGCUCUGUCCUUAGUUCCAGGGAUAAAGCCUGUGACCCAAACUUAAACCGCAGAUCAUUUUCCCCAGGCCAUGGAGAUUGUUUCAAAUGUGGGCACAUGGCCUGAAUGGGUCAUAUCAGAGUAAAUCUUAGGGCUUCUGGGUUAUGCCACCAUCACAGGCUCUUGCUUUCCUCACUGAACUUGAACCUAGACGGAUGUAAGCUGGAGCUGUGGCAGCCAUCAUUGCCCUGUGAAAAGUCCACUUGGAGCUGCCAAAGACCACCCCAGGAGCUUCAGAAUGAAGACAACCUGGAAGUCAGAGCUGACAGAAAUGCCUCUUAUUGUUUACAUUAUGAAGUCUCAACUUGGAUGGAAGCCCAACUGCAACACGGCCUCCUAAAAUGAGACGCAACUGUUCAACUGAACUGUUCUCAGGACUAAAAGGCUGUGUCAAUAAGAUACGGGGAAUAUUUGUUCUUCUGUGUGUUCCGAUCCUUGUUUUUCUUUCCCUUCGUUGAUCUCUUGUUUCACAACUUCCAACCCAAAUCUGCUCACAGCUACUAACUUGGCUUUUAACAUAUGAAACUUUCUAAAAGUAAAGUUUCAAAUGGGGAAUGAAGAGGCUCAGAAUACACUACCCCAAAACAUGUCACUCAGAACACAUCAUCCCCAAAUAUGCCACUUUGGCAUCAGAAUUAUUUUAAACUAAAGGCACAUAAAAACAGGAGAUGCAAGAAGAUCACUCUGACCUUCACUGUUCUUUAAAAGCCAGAGAUGAAAUUCCCAUGUGAAAGGUGUUCUCCCUAAACCAAGAAGAAAGUAACAUUCUCAUCACAAAGGAUAGGAAGUUGAGGCUGAUAGGAAUCUAUACAAGCAUCCCUUAUGUUCCUAAUUACUUAUUUACCCAGUUAUUUACCCUAGCAUAAGCCCCUUUGCCUUGUUACAUUUUCACAAUUCAGGGCAUAAAUGUUUGACUCUAGCUGCUGCUUUGUGUCUUCAUUUCCUUAUGAAUGCUCUCCUGCCAUUAAAAAACUUGCAUUAAAUAAUUUAUAUACUUUUCUCCUGUUGAUUUGUCUUAUGUCUAUUUAAUUCUCCAGGCCCAGGCAACAAACAAACAAACAAGAAAACAAAACAAAAACAAAAAACCCCCAACAACAACAACAACAAAACCAUAAAAGAGGAGGGGCAAAUUUUUGCCUCCUCUUCUGCAUUUUUCACAUGCUUUAUCCUGUUUUCACUUCUUUACUUUCUGGCACUAUAAGGUGUUCCAGGCUCAUCUUAUAUUUAUUUUCCCUAUCCUAGCCCUGGAAUCAGCCACUUCUACACUUCUUGAAGGAGUCCUGGUUCCUUUCAUCAGGGAACGGCAUUUCGAAAUCAAGAUCUGAGUGCUGGCUGUGCUCAUUGCUACUGGUGUCACUGCUCAUAGUCUCCUCUCUCUCAGUGGGCAGAGCUAGGUAAUUCAUGCUUUGGUACUCAAUGAAAUAAAAGAGGGCACAAA
Molecule: long non-coding RNA, 1801 nt
Filed under: Homo sapiens (human)
Lineage: Eukaryota; Metazoa; Chordata; Mammalia; Primates; Hominidae
Description: HSALNT0344112
Source: RNAcentral